RNAcentral lists this transfer RNA (75 nucleotides) under marine sediment metagenome. RNAcentral's name for it is "tRNA-His". It matches the Rfam family "tRNA". Rfam says of the family: Transfer RNA (tRNA) molecules are approximately 80 nucleotides in length. The record is from RNAcentral.
GUGGCUGGAGCCAAACGGUGAGGCAGCAGACUGUGAAUCUGUUUUUAGCGGGUUCGACUCCCGCCGGUCACCCCA